UGAGGAAUAUUGGUCAAUGGGCGAGAGCCUGAACCAGCCAAGUAGCGUGAAGGAUGACUGCCCUAUGGGUUGUAAACUUCUUUUAUAAAGGGAAUAAAAGUCGGGUAUGGAUACCCGUUUGCUAUGUACUUUAUGAAUAAGG
This 142-nucleotide ribosomal RNA is filed under the name uncultured bacterium. Its description in RNAcentral is "partial 16S ribosomal RNA". It matches the Rfam family "Bacterial small subunit ribosomal RNA", at positions 355 to 491 of the family's 1533-position model. The record is from RNAcentral.